AUAGCAUAUAUUAAAGUUGCUGCGGUUAAAAAGCUCGUAGUUGGAUCUGGGUAGUCGAUGGACGGUGCGCCUCACGGCGUCUACUGUUCGUUCGGCACCACAUGCCGGCCAUGUCUUGCAUGCUCUUCACUGAGUGUGCUUGGCGACCGGAACGUUUACUUUGAAAAAAUUAGAGUGCUCAAAGCAGGCGUUAAGCCUUGCAUAAUGGUGCAUGGAAUAAUGGAAUAGGACCUCGGUUCUAUUUUGUUGGUUUUCGGAGCUCGAGGUAAUGAUUAACAGGAACAGACGGGGACAUUCGUAUUGCGGCGUUAGAGGUGAAAUUCUUGGAUCGCAGCGAGACGCACGACAG
This 349-nucleotide ribosomal RNA is filed under the name Acutuncus sp. PC-2013. RNAcentral describes it as "SSU rRNA". It matches the Rfam family "Eukaryotic small subunit ribosomal RNA", at positions 594 to 945 of the family's 1831-position model. Lineage: Eukaryota; Metazoa; Tardigrada; Eutardigrada; Parachela; Hypsibiidae. The record is from RNAcentral.